Molecule: ribosomal RNA, 426 nt
Filed under: uncultured prokaryote
Description: bacterial SSU rRNA
Rfam family: Bacterial small subunit ribosomal RNA
Source: RNAcentral
UCGAGAAUUUUUCACAAUGGGCGCAAGCCUGAUGGAGCGACGCCGCGUGGGGGAUGAAUGGCUUCGGCCCGUAAACCCCUGUCAUUUGCGAUCAACCGUUGUUGUUUAAGAGAUGACAACCUGAUAGUAGCGAAAGAGGAAGGGACGGCUAACUCUGUGCCAGCAGCCGCGGUAAUACAGAGGUCCCAAGCGUUGUUCGGAUUCACUGGGCGUAAAGGGGGCGUAGGUGGCAAGGUAAGUAGGAUGUGAAAUCUCCGAGCUCAACUCGGAAAUGGCAUUGGAAACGGCUGUGCUCGAGGGUUGGAGGGGGGACUGGAAUACUUGGUGUAGCAGUGAAAUGCGUAGAGAUCAAGUGGAACACCAGUGGCGAAGGCGAGUCCCUGGACAACUCCUGACACUGAGGCACGAAAGCUAGGGGAGCAAACA